UGGGGAAUAUUGCACAAUGGGCGAAAGCCUGAUGCAGCAACGCCGCGUGAGUGAUGAAGGUCUUCGGAUUGUAAAGCUCUGUCUUUUGGGACGAUAAUGACGGUACCAAAGGAGGAAGCCACGGCUAACUACGUGCCAGCAGCCGCGGUAAUACGUAGGUGGCGAGCGUUGUCCAGAUUUACUGGGCGUAAAGGGUGCGUAGGCGGAUGUUUAAGUGAGAUGUGAAAUACCCGGGCUUAACUUGGGUGCUGCAUUUCAAACUGGAUAUCUAGAGUGCAGGAGAGGAGAAUGGAAUUCCUAGUGUAGCGGUGAAAUGCGUAGAGAUUAGGAAGAACACCAGUGGCGAAGGCGAUUCUCUGGACUGUAACUGACGCUGAGGCACGAAAGCGUGGGUAGCAAACAGGAUUAGAUACCCUGGUAGUCCACGCCGUAAACGAUGAGUACUAGGUGUAGGAGGUAUCGACCCCUUCUGUGCCGCAGUAAACACAUUAAGUACUCCGCCUGGGAAGUACGAUCGCAAGAUUAAA
RNAcentral lists this ribosomal RNA (527 nucleotides) under uncultured bacterium. RNAcentral's name for it is "partial 16S ribosomal RNA". It matches the Rfam family "Bacterial small subunit ribosomal RNA", at positions 355 to 898 of the family's 1533-position model. The record is from RNAcentral.